Molecule: non-coding RNA, 24 nt
Filed under: Arabidopsis thaliana (thale cress)
Lineage: Eukaryota; Viridiplantae; Streptophyta; Magnoliopsida; Brassicales; Brassicaceae
Source: RNAcentral
GAGGUGUGUAAGCAACAGUCUUGU